Molecule: transfer RNA, 75 nt
Filed under: candidate division WWE3 bacterium RIFCSPLOWO2_01_FULL_41_9
Lineage: Bacteria; candidate division WWE3
Description: tRNA-Gly
Rfam family: tRNA
About the family: Transfer RNA (tRNA) molecules are approximately 80 nucleotides in length. Their secondary structure includes four short double-helical elements and three loops (D, anti-codon, and T loops). Further hydrogen bonds mediate the characteristic L-shaped molecular structure. tRNAs have two regions of fundamental functional importance: the anti-codon, which is responsible for specific mRNA codon recognition, and the 3' end, to which the tRNAs corresponding amino acid is attached (by aminoacyl-tRNA synthetases). tRNAs cope with the degeneracy of the genetic code in two manners: having more than one tRNA (with a specific anti-codon) for a particular amino acid; and 'wobble' base-pairing, i.e. permitting non-standard base-pairing at the 3rd anti-codon position.
Source: RNAcentral
GCGGGUGUAGCUUAGUGGAAAAGCAUCUCGUUGCCAACGAGAAGAGCGCGGGUUCGAGCCCCGUCACCCGCUCCA